RNAcentral lists this long non-coding RNA (532 nucleotides) under Carica papaya (papaya). RNAcentral's name for it is "long non-coding RNA (CPAP_LNC013146)". The record is from RNAcentral. Lineage: Eukaryota; Viridiplantae; Streptophyta; Magnoliopsida; Brassicales; Caricaceae.
CCGAUAUUUAUGACUAGGUUGCAAAGUUGAGACCUAGCUCAUAUGCUAAGGUGCUAGAACAUGCUUAGUUGGUCAAAGACCUUAUCUCGGUCAGACACCAACACAUCACCCGACUCCAUGCCCAACAACAACAGCACCAACCUCAACAACCCAGAAGAAGAUUUUUUGACCCAGUUAGUAGUCAUCCUGAUAAACGACCCCAAGUUGCCUCUCCCCCUACUUUGCCUCCACUUACUGGACAACUUGAUCGACCUUCCCAACCAUGCUAGCAUUGCGGUCGUUUGCAUGGUGAUUAGCCAUGUUGGGGUUUGAACAAUGCCUACUAUAAGUACAAAAGCACUCAGCACUUUAUGAAGGAUUUCCUUUAGCGGCCAAAAGACAUGGCCAGACUAGUAGCCUAGAGUCGUGUGUACCAUCUUGAUAAACUCGGUGCCCUCCUGUCCUUAUCCAUGGUAUGCUUUUUAUCCAUGAUAUUUUUGCCAGAGCUUUAAAUGAUACAGGUGCUACCCACUCUUUCAUUUCUUAUUUAUUU